AUUUCAGGUGUUCAAUCUUUUACUACCUUCUGAGCUACUUCAAGCUGUGCAUAAUCGGAUAAACGAGGUGCAUAUUUUCCAAGGAUGCAAGGAAUUAGUGAUUUAAAUACAUAUAAUUCCUAGAGCUGUGAAAGUAAAAUUCACGUCUUAUAUUUGCUACAGUAAGCACAUACAUGAGCUUUGAAAAACUGUAAAUGUAAAAUGUAGAUAAGUAAAACAAAUCUUUUAAGAAAGCAACCUGUACUAUCCCUACUAUCCCUUACCGUUUGAUGAAAUGCAUUAAGCAGUUCCUUACAUAAAACUGAGGCUUGAAUGCUAGUAAAUAAUCUGGUUCACUGCAAAUCAACUGCUGAUUUAAUCAUUCUGUGAGUGACCUGCUGCCUGCAGUUUUGGUCUGCCUACACCAUUUCUCCUGGUGCUAAGACUCACAGGCAGCCUACUGCUUUAUAACCAUCCCUACUGUGAUGUCAGUGCCAGGCUACCUGAUGACCACAAGUCACCACACAGCUAUUAAUAUGGCUGUGGAGUAGCUAGUGAAUAAGUGCUGUUAUCUUCAUUUUACACAUGAGACAGGCAAGGGAGGCAAAGAUUUGCUAAAUGACAUACUGAUGGCCACAGAAAAAGUUUUCAGUUCAAGAUGAAGCUGUCCACACCGGAUGUGUACUCCACCAAGAUGUGAAUGGAAAAUGAGGGGAAAGCCAAGGGGAAUCUCAGGCUUUCUUGCAAAAAUUGCUAUUUACAUGGUCAGCUGAUAAGUGAUAGAAACUGUUCCAGCAAUGUAACUAUCAAAGAAGACGGGAAGGAAGCUCAACCCUUUUACCUUGAAAGUUGUUACCAUACAUCUGAGUAGCACAUCAUUUCUAGAUACCUUUUUCAUUGUACUGACAUCUGUAACAACUUAAACCUAAUAAAUAUGAUAUAUAUGACA
Molecule: long non-coding RNA, 928 nt
Filed under: Coturnix japonica (Japanese quail)
Lineage: Eukaryota; Metazoa; Chordata; Aves; Galliformes; Phasianidae
Description: lncRNA (ENSCJPG00005015950.1)
Source: RNAcentral